This 253-nucleotide ribosomal RNA is filed under the name uncultured bacterium. RNAcentral's name for it is "partial 16S ribosomal RNA". It matches the Rfam family "Bacterial small subunit ribosomal RNA", at positions 524 to 776 of the family's 1533-position model. The record is from RNAcentral.
UACAGAGGUCUCAAGCGUUGUUCGGAUUCAUUGGGCGUAAAGGGUGCGUAGGCGGACUGGUAAGUCAAAGGUGAAAUCCCGGGGCUCAACUCCGGAACUGCAUUCGAUACUGCUUGUCUAGAGGAUUGGAGAGGUGACUGGAAUUGAGGGUGUAGCAGUGAAAUGCGUAGAUAUCGUGAGGAACACCCGUGGCGAAGGCGGGUCACUGGACAACUCCUGACACUGAGGCGCGAAGGCGAGGGGAGCAAACGGG